CAUGAGUUAUGUCAUGUUAUCGAUAUGUGAAUACAUAGCAUAUCAGAAGGCACACCCGGAGAACUGAAACAUCUUAGUACCCGGAGGAAGAGAAAGAAAAUUCGAUUCCCUUAGUAGCGGCGAGCGAAACGGGAAGAGCCCAAACCAACAAGCUUGCUUGUUGGGGUUGUAGGACACUCUAUACGGAGUUACAAAGGACGACAUUAGACGAAUCAUCUGGAAAGAUGAAUCAAAGAAGGUAAUAAUCCUGUAGUCGAAAAUGUUGUCUCUCUUGAGUGGAUCCUGAGUACGACGGAGCACGUGAAAUUCCGUCGGAAUCUGGGAGGACCAUCUCCUAAGGCUAAAUACUCUCUAGUGACCGAUAGUGAACCAGUACCGUGAGGGAAAGGUGAAAAGCACCCCGGAAGGGGAGUGAAAUAGAACCUGAAACCGUGUGCUUACAAGUAGUCAGAGCCCGUUAAUGGGUGAUGGCGUGCCUUUUGUAGAAUGAACCGGCGAGUUACGAUUUGAUGCAAGGUUAAGCAGUAAAUGUGGAGCCGUAGCGAAAGCGAGUCUGAAUAGGGCGUUUAGUAUUUGGUCGUAGACCCGAAACCAGGUGAUCUACCCUUGGUCAGGUUGAAGUUCAGGUAACACUGAAUGGAGGACCGAACCGACUUACGUUGAAAAGUGAGCGGAUGAACUGAGGGUAGCGGAGAAAUUCCAAUCGAACCUGGAGAUAGCUGGUUCUCUCCGAAAUAGCUUUAGGGCUAGCCUCAAGUGAUGAUUAUUGGAGGUAGAGCACUGUUUGGACGAGGGGCCCCUCUCGGGUUACCGAAUUCAGACAAACUCCGAAUGCCAAUUAAUUUAACUUGGGAGUCAGAACAUGGGUGAUAAGGUCCGUGUUCGAAAGGGAAACAGCCCAGACCACCAGCUAAGGUCCCAAAAUAUAUGUUAAGUGGAAAAGGAUGUGGCGUUGCCCAGACAACUAGGAUGUUGGCUUAGAAGCAGCCAUCAUUUAAAGAGUGCGUAAUAGCUCACUAGUCGAGUGACACUGCGCCGAAAAUGUACCGGGGCUAAACAUAUUACCGAAGCUGUGGAUUGUCCUUUGGACAAUGGUAGGAGAGCGUUCUAAGGGCGUUGAAGCAUGAUCGUAAGGACAUGUGGAGCGCUUAGAAGUGAGAAUGCCGGUGUGAGUAGCGAAAGACGGGUGAGAAUCCCGUCCACCGAUUGACUAAGGUUUCCAGAGGAAGGCUCGUCCGCUCUGGGUUAGUCGGGUCCUAAGCUGAGGCCGACAGGCGUAGGCGAUGGAUAACAGGUUGAUAUUCCUGUACCACCUAUAAUCGUUUUAAUCGAUGGGGGGACGCAGUAGGAUAGGCGAAGCGUGCGAUUGGAUUGCACGUCUAAGCAGUAAGGCUGAGUAUUAGGCAAAUCCGGUACUCGUUAAGGCUGAGCUGUGAUGGGGAGAAGACGUUGUGUCUUCGAGUCGUUGAUUUCACACUGCCGAGAAAAGCCUCUAGAUAGAAAAUAGGUGCCCGUACCGCAAACCGACACAGGUAGUCAAGAUGAGAAUUCUAAGGUGAGCGAGCGAACUCUCGUUAAGGAACUCGGCAAAAUGACCCCGUAACUUCGGGAGAAGGGGUGCUCUUUAGGGUUAACGCCCAGAAGAGCCGCAGUGAAUAGGCCCAAGCGACUGUUUAUCAAAAACACAGGUCUCUGCUAAACCGUAAGGUGAUGUAUAGGGGCUGACGCCUGCCCGGUGCUGGAAGGUUAAGAGGAGUGGUUAGCUUCUGCGAAGCUACGAAUCGAAGCCCCAGUAAACGGCGGCCGUAACUAUAACGGUCCUAAGGUAGCGAAAUUCCUUGUCGGGUAAGUUCCGACCCGCACGAAAGGCGUAACGAUUUGGGCACUGUCUCAACGAGAGACUCGGUGAAAUCAUAGUACCUGUGAAGAUGCAGGUUACCCGCGACAGGACGGAAAGACCCCGUGGAGCUUUACUGUAGCCUGAUAUUGAAAUUCGGCACAGCUUGUACAGGAUAGGUAGGAGCCUUUGAAACGUGAGCGCUAGCUUACGUGGAGGCGCUGGUGGGAUACUACCCUAGCUGUGUUGGCUUUCUAACCCGCACCACUUAUCGUGGUGGGAGACAGUGUCAGGCGGGCAGUUUGACUGGGGCGGUCGCCUCCUAAAAGGUAACGGAGGCGCUCAAAGGUUCCCUCAGAAUGGUUGGAAAUCAUUCAUAGAGUGUAAAGGCAUAAGGGAGCUUGACUGCGAGACCUACAAGUCGAGCAGGGUCGAAAGACGGACUUAGUGAUCCGGUGGUUCCGCAUGGAAGGGCCAUCGCUCAACGGAUAAAAGCUACCCCGGGGAUAACAGGCUUAUCUCCCCCAAGAGUUCACAUCGACGGGGAGGUUUGGCACCUCGAUGUCGGCUCAUCGCAUCCUGGGGCUGUAGUCGGUCCCAAGGGUUGGGCUGUUCGCCCAUUAAAGCGGUACGCGAGCUGGGUUCAGAACGUCGUGAGACAGUUCGGUCCCUAUCCGUCGUGGGCGUAGGAAAUUUGAGAGGAGCUGUCCUUAGUACGAGAGGACCGGGAUGGACAUACCUCUGGUGUACCAGUUGUCGUGCCAACGGCAUAGCUGGGUAGCUAUGUGUGGACGGGAUAAGUGCUGAAAGCAUCUAAGCAUGAAGCCCCCCUCAAGAUGAGAUUUCCCAACUUCGGUUAUAAGAUCCCUCAAAGAUGAUGAGGUUAAUAGGUUCGAGGUGGAAGCAUGGUGACAUGUGGAGCUGACGAAUACUAAUCGAUCGAAGACUUAAUCAA
RNAcentral lists this ribosomal RNA (2792 nucleotides) under Staphylococcus aureus. RNAcentral describes it as "partial 23S ribosomal RNA". It matches the Rfam family "Bacterial large subunit ribosomal RNA". The record is from RNAcentral. Lineage: Bacteria; Bacillati; Bacillota; Bacilli; Caryophanales; Staphylococcaceae.